Molecule: long non-coding RNA, 689 nt
Organism: Onychostoma macrolepis
Lineage: Eukaryota; Metazoa; Chordata; Actinopteri; Cypriniformes; Cyprinidae
Exons: 3
Source: RefSeq, a predicted model, not a curated record
CAGUCCAUAACUCUGUCUCUCCAGGGCUUUAUAUGUUGUCAGGCAAUCAAGCGUUUAUUUGGGCCACUCAGUCUGCAGACUGUUGUAGACAAAGCUACAAAGCCACUUUACAAGACAAAGCUGUUUGGACUCUCAUUCUGACGGCACCCAUUCACUGCAGAGGAUCCGCUGUUGAGCAAGUGAUGUAAUGCUACAUUUCUCCAAAAAUGUUCUGAUGAAGCAACAAACAUAUUGCAUGGCCUGAGGUACUAUCAGUGGACUGAACAAGUGUCAGUCGUGAAGGGUGACGAUGCGCUAGAGCUCUGCGUUGAGUAAUCACACGAGCAGGAGCUGCCGGGACCAGAUAAAACCACCAACAAUGAGAACAGUCCCUCGUCUCUCUCUCUUCAUUCUCAUCUUUCUUGCAGUUUGACAGCUAAUCACGGCCUAUCGGAGAGCAAUUCCUAAUGUGCGCGUCGCCUUUAGCCAGCAGGCCUGUGCAGUUCCUUUCACAACACACAAAUGUCAAAUACUCAGUUGGUGAAAUGUGUAAGUGCAUGCUGGGUGUCAGUGUGUGUUUUAAUGUGUCAUCUUCACUUUAAUGGCAUGUGAGCGCAGUGUUCCGUCUGUUUAGUAACAUGCUUUCACAAACCCUGUCAUAUCUAACACAUAAAUGGUUUUCUUUUCAUGUAUGCAAAUCUACAUUUAUG